Molecule: unclassified non-coding RNA, 242 nt
Filed under: uncultured fungus
Lineage: Eukaryota; Fungi
Description: sequence contains ITS2
Source: RNAcentral
AACGCACAUUGCGCCCGCCAGCAUUCUGGCGGGCAUGCCUGUUCGAGCGUCAUUGCAACCCUCAGGCCCUGCCUGGCGUUGGAGGACUGCACCCGCAGCCUCCCAAAGCAAGCGGCGGCGGCGCCCCAAAACCGAACGCAGUAGUUUUCUCUCGUUCUGGGACUGGGACGUUGUCUUGCCGGAAAACCCCCAACUUUUACGUGGUUGACCUCGAAUCAGGUAGGAAUACCCGCUGAACUUAA